UUUACCCGCUGAAACUUAAGCAUAUCAAUAAGCGGAGGAAAAGAAACCAACAGGGAUUGCCCUAGUAACGGCGAGUGAAGCGGCAACAGCUCAAAUUUGAAAUCUGGCGUCUUUGGCGUCCGAGUUGUAAUUUGCAGAGGGCGCUUUGGCAUUGGCAGCGGUCCAAGUUCCUUGGAACAGGACGUCACAGAGGGUGAGAAUCCCGUACGUGGUCGCUAGCCUUUACCGUGUAAAGCCCCUUCGACGAGUCGAGUUGUUUGGGAAUGCAGCUCUAAAUGGGAGGUAAAUUUCUUCUAAAGCUAAAUACUGGCCAGAGACCGAUAGCGCACAAGUAGAGUGAUCGAAAGAUGAAAAGCACUUUGGAAAGAGAGUUAAAAAGCACGUGAAAUUGUUGAAAGGGAAGCGCUUGCAGCCAGACUUGCCUGUAGUUGCUCAUCUGGGUUUUUACCCAGUGCACUCUUCUAUAGGCAGGCCAGCAUCAGUUUGGGCGGUUGGAUAAAGGUCUCUGUCAUGUACCUCUCUUCGGGGAGAUCUUAUAGGGGAGACGACAUGCAACCAGCCUGGACUGAGGUCCGCGCAUCUGCUAGGAUGCUGGCGUAAUGGCUGUAAGCGGCCCGUCUUGAAACACGGACCAAGGAGUCUAACAUCUAUGCGAGUGUUUGGGUGUCAAGCCCGAGCGCGUAAUGAAAGUGAACGGAGGUGGGAACCUUUCGGGGUGCACCAUCGACCGAUCCUGAUGUCUUCGGAUGGAUUUGAGUAAGAGCAUAGCUGUUGGGACCCGAAAGAUGGUGAACUAUGCUUGAAUAGGGUGAAGCCAGAGGAAACUCUGGUGGAGGCUCGCAGCGGUUCUGACGUGCAAAUCGAUCGUCAAAUUUGGGCAUAGGGGCGAAAGACUAAUCGAACUAUCUAGUAGCUGGUUCCUGCCGAAGUUCCCCUCAGGAUAAA
Molecule: ribosomal RNA, 945 nt
Filed under: Didymella sp.
Lineage: Eukaryota; Fungi; Ascomycota; Dothideomycetes; Pleosporales; Didymellaceae
Description: partial large subunit ribosomal RNA
Rfam family: Eukaryotic large subunit ribosomal RNA
Source: RNAcentral